RNAcentral lists this ribosomal RNA (675 nucleotides) under Triticum aestivum (bread wheat). RNAcentral describes it as "partial small subunit ribosomal RNA". The record is from RNAcentral. Lineage: Eukaryota; Viridiplantae; Streptophyta; Magnoliopsida; Poales; Poaceae.
AUGAUACAGUUGCCAACCAUCUGUGGACAUGAUACAGGUUUAAGGGGGUCAACGCUUCAGGUGAUGGGGAUAUCUGUUGAGGAAGGUGAGUGGGCUAUUGUUGGUGGGACAGGACAGUUCGCAAUGGCAAACGGUGUCAUAUACAAAAAGUUCCAUGAGCAGAGGAGCGAUGGUAACAUCAUAGAACUCACUGUCCACGCGUUCUGUCCCGUGCUGAAUGGCUCGCCGAGCCUUCUCACAAAGCUUGGACCAUGGGGUGGAAGUGGAGGGUCGGAUAAAGACAUCGUUGAGGCACCAAGGCGUCUAGAGAGCAUCACAGUUAGCAGCGGCUUGAUUGUUGAUUCAAUCAAAUUUUCUUAUGUUGACCAAGCUGGCCAGAAGCACACAGGUGGACCCUGGGGAGGAUCCGGAGGAAAUCAAAACACGAUCGUACUCGGGGCUUCUGAGUUUGUGAAGGAAGUCUCUGGGACACACGGCAUUUUUGACAAAGACCAACACCACAUAAUAACGUCACUGAAAUUCAUCACCAAUGUGAAGGCUUAUGGGCCUUUCGGAGAAGCAAAGGGAACCCCUUUCACCAUACCUGCGGAAAAGAAUAGCAGCAUAGUGGGCUUUUUCGGGCGUAGUGGGAUAUAUCUCGAUGCGCUUGGUGUCUACGUGUCCAACUCUAGCUAA